Molecule: unclassified non-coding RNA, 266 nt
Filed under: Hevea brasiliensis (rubber tree)
Lineage: Eukaryota; Viridiplantae; Streptophyta; Magnoliopsida; Malpighiales; Euphorbiaceae
Source: RNAcentral
GAAAUAAAGAAAGCUUAUUAUGCAGUAGGUUUCUCAAUUAUUUUUCCUUUUCCUAAUUUGUGUAUUUUCACUUUUUCAGUUCUAUUUGUGCAUCUCUAUGCUCUUCCUCUAUCUCUGAUUUGGGAUUGUGUGUGCAUUACUGUUAUUGGCAUUUGAAUUUGUAGGAUUUCAGCUUCUACUUCCUGAGGUAGACUGUACUUUUUAUUUCAUGUAUUCUGAUUUUAAUUCCAUGCUAUUCUGCAGCUGGCAAAGAAACUCCAUCCUGA